This 492-nucleotide ribosomal RNA is filed under the name uncultured bacterium. RNAcentral describes it as "partial 16S ribosomal RNA". It matches the Rfam family "Bacterial small subunit ribosomal RNA", at positions 29 to 507 of the family's 1533-position model. The record is from RNAcentral.
AGUGAACGCUGGCGGUAGGCCUAACACAUGCAAGUCGAACGGCAGCACAGUAAGAGCUUGCUCUUACGGGUGGCGAGUGGCGGACGGGUGAGGAAUACAUCGGAAUCUACUUUUUCGUGGGGGAUAACGUAGGGAAACUUACGCUAAUACCGCAUACGACCUACGGGUGAAAGCAGGUGAUCUUCGGACCUUGCGCGAUUGAAUGAGCCGAUGUCGGAUUAGCUGGUUGGCGGGGUAAAGGCCCACCAAGGCGACGAUCCGUAGCUGGUCUGAGAGGAUGAUCAGCCACACUGGAACUGAGACACGGUCCAGACUCCUACGGGAGGCAGCAGUGGGGAAUAUUGGACAAUGGGCGCAAGCCUGAUCCAGCCAUACCGCGUGGGUGAAGAAGGCCUUCGGGUUGUAAAGCCCUUUUGUUGGGAAAGAAAAGCAGCAGGUUAAUACCCCGCUGUUCUGACGGUACCCAAAGAAUAAGCACCGGCUAACUUCGUG